UAUUCAUGAGUUAUGUGCCAGUUAAUGGAUUACAAUUAAUCUACUGAUCAUAUUCACAUUCAACAAGUGUCUAGUUCAGUAGGUCCAUGUAGCUGAAACUCAUACAGUCUGAUCUGCAAGAGUCCUGUCUGAUUGUUGUUGAAGUUGUUAGUCUGUCUUUACAGCCUUAUUGUGUUUAUACCUGUGCUCUUGCAAAUUAUUACUGACUUCCAAAGAGGAAAGAGUUGUAGAAGAGGUCAGUGCUUUAAAUCAAAUCACAAGUUGGAAGCUUAGUGGUGGCAACAUUAUAGUAAUGUGACUGGUGUAGUUUGUUUAUAUCUUUACAUUGACUUUUUUUCUGGUGAUUGUAUUCAGGUAUCAAAUAUCAUAAAAAUGUUACUCACUUGUGAAGAUCGUCUUAAAGUUUAUAAUCCAAUAAUUUGUAAGAUAACUGAAAAAUCCCUUCAAUUUUUUUGUCAAGGUAGCUAUACGUCAUCCCUGCAGCACUGUAUUGUUGAUACUGUUUUAGAGAGUUAAUGUUCAUCUUUAUGCAGGGUUUUACGUACCAUUGUAAGGUUUGGGUGCAGAACUCAAGCCAGUGACCGUAAACUGCCUUAGUGUUUUUCACAUUAAAAUGUGGAAAAGGCUUCUCAGUGUGACAUAACACACUCCAAGAUUUGCAGGAAUGAAACAAAUGAUAAAUAAGUGGACAGUAUGAUCAGUGAUUGUUUAGAAGUGUGAUUUUAUGAUUUGAAAACAAAGGAUACAUGCACAGGACUAACUUUCCCUUCUCUUUAUUAUAGUGAGUUAUAAAGGUAGAAACAUCAUCAUUUAUGUUAAUUUAGACUUUUUACAACCAAAGGUAGCUCAAAUUUAACUGAUUUUCAAAAAGAAAUGCAAAUAAAUGCACGUUUCCAUCCACUGCUGCUCUGUGAAUAUGAGGAUCUGGUGGAGUCUCUAGUCAGAUCUUUGUGUACAAAUCAAAUUGAAUUCUUGAACUAGCUCAGUCCCAGUCCUGUCUGAUUAGUCCAGUACCAAUUAGUCUUCGCACUGCUUUCUUUGUGGGUGUAGUGUCUUUUACUCCUCUACCUUUUGAUGGUUUGAACUUCAAUACCCAGAAAGCCUGUGUGCUUUUAUUUUGAGGUGUUAAACAGUUGUAGCCUUAUAUUAAUGCUUGUUUGUGAUUUUUCUCCACAGUACUCCAACUUCAACCAGCAAAUCAUGAGAGAGAGAGGAGGCAGACAUAAAGAUUUACAGAAGUCCUGCCUCUAGUCCCAGAUAACACAAAUCCAGACCAGUCAGCACUGAUCGUGCUCAGAGAAGAGUCUUCAGCUAAAGAUCUCAGAGCUGCUCCCUGUGCAGGACCACUGUCACCCAACAGGAGGUGGAAGAGGAGGCAGUCUGCAACACAUACAACACAGCAACAUCAUGUCCUCUGCUAUUUCAGUUAAUGUUGAAUUUGACGACUUGAUGACCACAGUCAAGGUAACCAUAAACAACCAUAACAGUGUUUUUGCAUGUUUACUUACACCUUAUUAUACAAUGACAUUUUUGACCAUUUUUGAUGCCUUACUAUACUAUGACAUGCAGCUUAAGACAACAAAACUGUUGUAGAGCAGCCAUCUUAUCUUUGUUUUCCACAGACAUAAUGACACACUGAGACCUACAUACCUCACCUCACUCCUCUUGUGGGUUAGGUUAGAUUUUGUUUGUCAUUUCAUUUUGGUGUUUAGCUAUUUCUAACAGUGCAAUAUCAGUACUCAAGUCCAGUGUAUUACUGUGUACAUAGUUCUGUUUAUACUGUUCAUAUUGUUUAUAAUUUUUUACAUAUUGUACUUAUUUUGUAUCUUAACUUGUCAAUGUCUUGCCAUUUUCUAUUUUUGUUGCAACACUGUAUUUCCCUGCUAUGUGACUAAAAUGGAUUAUCUUACUCAAAUAAAUUUCUUAAUACUGAA
Lates calcarifer (barramundi perch) is the source of this 1934-nucleotide long non-coding RNA. RefSeq lists it as uncharacterized. The transcript has 2 exons. NCBI's taxonomy places the organism in Eukaryota, Metazoa, Chordata, Actinopteri, Centropomidae. The record is from RefSeq and is a predicted model, not a curated record.